CAGCCGCCACGGGAAUACGAAGGGGGCUAGCGUUGCUCGGAAUUACUGGGCGUAAGGGGAGCGUAGGCGGGUCGUUUAGUCAGAGGUGAAAUCCCGGGGCUCAACCUCGGAACUGCCUUUGAUACUGGCGACCUUGAGGAUGGGAGAGGUAAGCGGAACUCCGAGUGUAGAGGUGAAAUUCGUAGAUGUUCGGAAGAACACCAGUGGCGAAGGCGGCUCACUGGACGACUGUUGACGCUGAGGUGCGAAAGCGUGGGGAGCAAACAGGAUUAGAUACCCCUGUAGUCCCUGUCUCUUAUAC
Molecule: ribosomal RNA, 301 nt
Filed under: uncultured bacterium
Lineage: Bacteria
Description: partial 16S ribosomal RNA
Rfam family: Bacterial small subunit ribosomal RNA
Source: RNAcentral